Molecule: ribosomal RNA, 468 nt
Filed under: uncultured bacterium
Lineage: Bacteria
Description: bacterial SSU rRNA
Rfam family: Bacterial small subunit ribosomal RNA
Source: RNAcentral
GAUGAACGCUGGCGGCGUGCCUAACACAUGCAAGUCGAACGGAAUUUACAUGAAGCCUAGCGAUUGUUAAUUUAGUGGCGGACGGGUGAGUAACGCGUGGGUAACCUGCCUUGUACUGGGGGACAACAGUUGGAAACGACUGCUAAUACCGCAUAAGCGCACAGCUUCGCAUGAAGCAGUGUGAAAAACUCCGGUGGUACAAGAUGGACCCGCGUCUGAUUAGCUGGUUGGUGAGGUAACGGCCCACCAAGGCGACGAUCAGUAGCCGGCCUGAGAGGGUGAACGGCCACAUUGGGACUGAGACACGGCCCAAACUCCUACGGGAGGCAGCAGUGGGGAAUAUUGCACAAUGGGGGAAACCCUGAUGCAGCAACGCCGCGUGAGUGAAGAAGUAUUUCGGUAUGUAAAGCUCUAUCAGCAGGAAAGAAAAUGACGGUACCUGACUAAGAAGCCCCGGCUAACUACGUG